UACAGAGAGAAGCAAUGCGGCGACGCAAAGCGGAACUUGAAAGCCUGUCUCAGUUCGGAUUGGAGUCUGNAACCCGACUCCAUGAAGCUGGAUUCGCUAGUAAUCGCGCAUCAGCCACGGCGCGGUGAAUACGUUCCCGGGCCUUGUACACACCGCCCGUCAAGCCAUGGAAGCCGGGGGUGCCUGAAGUGCGCUGCCGCAAGGAGCGCCCUAGGGUAAAACCGGUGACUGGGGCUAAGUCGUAACAAGGUAAC
Molecule: ribosomal RNA, 254 nt
Filed under: uncultured bacterium
Lineage: Bacteria
Description: partial 16S ribosomal RNA
Rfam family: Bacterial small subunit ribosomal RNA
Source: RNAcentral